Molecule: ribosomal RNA, 216 nt
Filed under: Coptopteryx sp. MN136
Lineage: Eukaryota; Metazoa; Arthropoda; Insecta; Mantodea; Mantidae
Description: partial 16S ribosomal RNA
Rfam family: Archaeal large subunit ribosomal RNA (bases 1-151)
Source: RNAcentral
UCAAAAACAUGGUUUCUUGAUUAUAUAAGAAAUUUAACCUGCCCACUGAAGAAUUUUGAAGGGCCGCAGUAUUUUGACUGUGCAAAGGUAGCAUAAUCAUUAGUCUUUUAAUUGAGGGCUUGUAUGAAUGGUUGGACGAGGCAAAUUCUGUUUUAUAAUAAUAUAUUGAAUUUUGAUUUUGAGUAAAAAGACUUAAAUGAUAUUAAAGGACGAGAA